AUUGUGCUUUAUUUUGUAGAUAUUUCUGGAAACCAAGCUGAGAGCUAAGCUCAUGGUGCUGGCUGCAGCCAUUGUGCUAGGGAUUGAAAUGAAAUCUGGAAACACAUUUGGAAUGGCUUGGCCAGUCAAGGUUAAUAAUGAAAAUACUGAAUAGAACACACCUAUGAAUCAGCCUCUGUAACUUUGUGCAAGCAGCACAAUCUCUACCCCGUGUACAAAGAACAUCCAUCAAAAUAAAUAUAACAGCCUUGAUAGGAAGAAAGGCCA
RNAcentral lists this long non-coding RNA (267 nucleotides) under Cyanistes caeruleus (blue tit). Its description in RNAcentral is "lncRNA (ENSCCEG00000019062.1)". Lineage: Eukaryota; Metazoa; Chordata; Aves; Passeriformes; Paridae. The record is from RNAcentral.